Molecule: transfer RNA, 78 nt
Filed under: SAR202 cluster bacterium MP-SInd-SRR3963457-G2
Lineage: Bacteria; Bacillati; Chloroflexota; Dehalococcoidia
Also listed under: 4 other names
Description: tRNA-Glu
Rfam family: tRNA
About the family: Transfer RNA (tRNA) molecules are approximately 80 nucleotides in length. Their secondary structure includes four short double-helical elements and three loops (D, anti-codon, and T loops).
Source: RNAcentral
GGCGCGUUCGUCUAGUUGGCCCAGGACACCGCCCUCUCAAGGCGGAGAUCGCGGGUUCGAAUCCCGCACGCGCUACCA